Salvelinus namaycush (lake trout) is the source of this 534-nucleotide long non-coding RNA. RefSeq lists it as uncharacterized. The record is from RefSeq and is a predicted model, not a curated record. Lineage: Eukaryota; Metazoa; Chordata; Actinopteri; Salmoniformes; Salmonidae. The transcript is spliced from 3 exons.
CAUCUCAUCCUUGUUUGCAUAAUCACAGUCUUUCACAAGCAGACGCAGCUCUGUCACAAACUGUUCAAAAGACUCGCGAGCUCCCUGUACUUUCUCAUGGAAUUUGUACCUAGCGAAUAUCGUAUUGGUCUUCGGCACAACAUAUGCUUCAAAACGAUCGUAGUAUGUUUUCAGUACCUUUGAUUCAGCCUCGGUAAGUGUCCGUGUGUUGUAAAUAUCUCUCCCUUUUUCACCGAUCCAGAGGAGCAAGUAGCUGCAUUUUCCCUCUUCUCCUCUGUCCUUCAGAGGACCCGUGAACAUUAACUCCACAUGCUGUUUGAACUUACGCCAUGCAUCGGGUAAAUUUGUAGACUCCCAAGUCCAUUCGAGGUGAAGGAACUCCAGAAAAAUCCAUCUUAAGUGACCACUCCACUAUGAUUGUCAACUCUCUCCUGACAUGAACUGAAGCCACGUCUCAUGUUCCCGCUCAUCCACUGUUACAUUUAAUGUUUCCUCUCCAAGCACUUCAUCUCCUGUCCUGCACUGAAGUCAAGC